Molecule: ribosomal RNA, 1108 nt
Filed under: metagenome
Description: bacterial SSU rRNA
Rfam family: Bacterial small subunit ribosomal RNA
Source: RNAcentral
ACACCCGCGGGGGAGGAGAGAAACAUUUCGGGGGGGAAAACUCCUUUUUUUUGGAAAAAAAAGGACGGGUUUAUUUGAAUAAGCCCCGGGUAAAUCCGUGCCAGCAGCCGGGGUAAUCGGGGGGGGCAAGGGUUACUUGGAAAUCCCGGGGCGUAAAGAGCAUUUAGGCGAAUAGAUAGUUGGGAAGUAAAUCCUAUGGCUUAACCCAAGAACUGCUUCCAAAACCGUCUAUUUGGAAUAUUGGAGAGGUAGAUGGAAUUCUGGUGUAGGGGUAAAAUCCGUAGAGAUCAGAAAGAAUACCGAUUGCGAAGGCGAUCUACUGGAACAUUAUUGACGCUCAGAUGCGAAAGCGUGGGGAGCAAACAGGAUUAGAUACCCUGGUAGUCCACGCCCUAAACGAUGCACACUAGUUGUUGCCUUGCUAGACAAGGCAGUAAUGCAGUUAACACAGUAAGUGUGCCGCCUGGGGAGUACGGUCGCAAGAUUAAAACUCAAAGGAAUAGACGGGGACCCGCACAAGCGGUGGAGCAUGUGGUUUAAUUCGACGAUACGCGAAGAACCUUACCUGGCCUUGACAUAGAAAGAACUUACUAGAGAUAGUUUGGUGCUAGCUUGCUAGAACUUUCAUACAGGUGCUGCACGGCUGUCGUCAGCUCGUGUCGUGAGAUGUUGGGUUAAGUCCCGCAACGAGCGCAACCCUCGUGUUUAGUUACUAACAGUUCGGCUGAGGACUCUAGACAGACUGCCUACGCAAGUAGGAGGAAGGUGAGGACGACGUCAAGUCAUCAUGGCCCUUACGGCCAGGGCUACACACGUGCUACAAUGGGGCAUACAAAGAGCCGCAAUACGGUGACGUGGAGCAAAUCUCAUAAAAUGCCUCCCAGUUCGGAUUGUAGUCUGCAACUCGACUACAUGAAGUUGGAAUCGCUAGUAAUCGUAGAUCAGCUAUGCUACGGUGAAUACGUUCCCGGGUCUUGUACUCACCGCCCGUCACACCAUGGGAGUUGAUUUCAUUCGAAGCGGGGAUGCUAAAAUAGCUACCUUCCACAGUGGAAUUAGCGACUAGGGUGAAGUCGUAACAAGGUAACCGUAGGAGAACCUGCGGUUG